Molecule: ribosomal RNA, 303 nt
Filed under: uncultured bacterium
Lineage: Bacteria
Description: partial 16S ribosomal RNA
Rfam family: Bacterial small subunit ribosomal RNA
Source: RNAcentral
AGCAGUAGCCACGGGAAUACGAAGGGGGCUAGCGUUGCUCGGAAUGACUGGGCGUAAAGGGCGCGUAGGCGGUUUAUACAGUCAGAUGUGAAAUUCCUGGGCUCAACCUGGGGACUGCAUUUGAUACGUAUGGACUUGAGUGGAGAAGAGGGUCGUGGAAUUUCCAGUGUAGAGGUGAAAUUCGUAGAUAUUGGAAAGAACACCGGUGGCGAAGGCGGCGACCUGGUCUUUAACUGACGCUGAGGCGCGAAAGCGUGGGGAGCAAACAGGAUUAGAUACCCCCGUAGUCCCUGUCUCUUAUAC